This 1033-nucleotide long non-coding RNA is filed under the name Coffea arabica (coffee). Its description in RNAcentral is "long non-coding RNA (CARA_LNC001889)". The record is from RNAcentral. Lineage: Eukaryota; Viridiplantae; Streptophyta; Magnoliopsida; Gentianales; Rubiaceae.
GGUCAUUGAAAAUCCAUUCCCCUAUUUGAUAUUUGAAAAUUUCCAAUAUAGGGUAGAGAUCAUUAAGGCCUUUAUUUGAAACGAAAUUAUUCUUUCAUAGGCUCAAAUGGGAGAGCAAGUGAUAAAAAUCUGUAUAGGUAGUGAAACAAAUGCUCAAAGUAUCAUUCCAAAUUUUCAAAACAAACAAGAAUAAUGCACAUUUUUGCUUUCACUUAGAUGUGAAUUGAAUCCGGUUAAACCAAUGGGGAUUUUUCCAAGCAAAGAAUGUCCCAAUUUGCAAUUUAUCAAUCAAUGUCACUGAUUUUAUUUUGGGGUUAAGUGAAGGAAAAAAGAUAUCUCAUUGGGCCUUCUGAAUGACCUCUUUUAAUUCUGAACACUCUUAUUGUGAAUUUUCAGGUCGGAGGUUGAAAAAAUCCCAAUUUAGUCUUAUUUCUUAAAAUUCAUCAUGAAAUCUCCAAUGAAUAAGAAUAAAGAAUAAAAUGUACAUAAAUAUACACAAAACAAUGAUUGUCCAAAAAGUUUAUUGCUGAAAAAGUUUGAAACAAAAUUUCUCAUUCAAUUAUGAUACAAAUGAGAAGAGAGAAAAUUGUAAAGAGUUCCACAUAUACACUUUUUGUCUCCUUUUUCAAAUAUACAAAAUUUUCCUUUGGAAAACAAUUACAACAUUUCUCAGAGGGUUUUCAUCGUAGGACCCGCCCAAGAAUCAAAUAACACUUGUAAUCUUCAAACUUCAUUGGAUUAAAAUUAUCAUCAGAUAUAGAAGAAUAUUUCCGUCUUAUUGAAAUAUUUUUAUGAAUGCAAGGGAGGGGGGAAACAAAAGAAAAAUACCCCGAGUUAGUAGACAAAACUGCAAAAUCGGUAUGCAUGUCCUAUGGGAGAACCCUUUUAUGCCAAGGGUAGGCCUAGCAUGAAAAUGCAAUCCUCCAGAGCAGGCACUAUACAAUACCUGAUGGAUCCAAUCAGCUCAUGGAGUGAAAAAUAAUUUUGAAAGAAUUUGGUCAAUUGGGGUGACGAGAGAUUUGUCAAAAUGAGG